GGGUUGUGAGGUUAAGCGACUAAGCGUACACGGUGGAUGCCCUGGCAGUCAGAGGCGAUGAAGGACGUGCUAAUCUGCGAUAAGCGUCGGUAAGGUGAUAUGAACCGUUAUAACCGGCGAUUUCCGAAUGGGGAAACCCAGUGUGUUUCGACACACUAUCAUUAACUGAAUCCAUAGGUUAAUGAGGCGAACCGGGGGAACUGAAACAUCUAAGUACCCCGAGGAAAAGAAAUCAACCGAGAUUCCCCCAGUAGCGGCGAGCGAACGGGGAGCAGCCCAGAGCCUGAAUCAGUGUGUGUGUUAGUGGAAGCGUCUGGAAAGGCGCGCGAUACAGGGUGACAGCCCCGUACACAA
Molecule: ribosomal RNA, 354 nt
Filed under: Escherichia coli
Lineage: Bacteria; Pseudomonadati; Pseudomonadota; Gammaproteobacteria; Enterobacterales; Enterobacteriaceae
Description: partial 23S ribosomal RNA
Rfam family: Bacterial large subunit ribosomal RNA
Source: RNAcentral